Pongo pygmaeus (Bornean orangutan) is the source of this 1381-nucleotide long non-coding RNA. RefSeq lists it as uncharacterized. NCBI's taxonomy places the organism in Eukaryota, Metazoa, Chordata, Mammalia, Primates, Hominidae. The transcript has 4 exons. The record is from RefSeq and is a predicted model, not a curated record.
CAAUGCUUCUUUAGAAGCUACUCAUCCAUUAAAGGGGCCAGGCCUGUGAGGCAGCAGCACUCUCUGAAGACAAUGGAAGAUGGGGGAGUAUGAACAUUGAAAACCAAGGAACUGGGGCCCUUUCUUCUCUUCCAAAAAAUGUUGUUGAGCACCUGUGUCAGACACCCAACAUACUAAGAUGAAUAAGAUAGAGCCUCUGUCCUCAAGGAUCUGAUGUUCUAGUGAAGAAGACAGAUUAACAGGUUUAGAAUCUGGCUACAGAUUGAUUUUAUGCUAAAUUAUAUUGUUGAAAGAUGUCACGCUCCACUUGACACACCUACAAAUGUUUUUCAUUCAAAUAAAGGAAGGUCAGCUGAGCUGAAGAACAUCAGUAAUUACAGAUUUUGCUGCUGCUGCUGCUGCUGCUGCUGUUGCGAAUCCUUUCUUCUCACCUCUGGGUGCCUGAAAGUCAGCAGGAGUUACAAGUGGAAAUUUGGCCAAAAUGCACUGCACUCUGAAAGAAAAUGCUUAAUUUCUCUAAAAGUGAAGGACUUGCUGAGAAGAAAUGUUGAAAAUAUAAUGAGCAGGCAUUUCAAUGCAAAAGGUGAUACAAUAUACCCAUUACGUUGCUAUUCUCAUGGGACAGAACCAAACUUUGACUUUUGUAUAAACUAUUUGGCAAUAUUACAUAAGACACCUCCUAUUUGUAGUUCUGUUUCAGAACAUAGUAUAUAAUCCGGUAUAUAUCAUAAUGAAUAAAGUCAUAAUGAAUAAAAUCAAAAUAGGGUGCCACCCUAUUUGAUAACAAAACUUUGCAUAUCACUGAAUGCAUAUAUUUAUCAAACUUCCUGUACUAAAAUGAAAUACACAUAUAUAAGCAUGCAUACUCCAAAAAUUUAACACGAAUAAUUUAACACUCUUGAGACAGGAGUAAUACAAGGUGGUCACAGGAGAACAGAAAAUUCCAGACAGCAGUUUCACACGUUUAGCAGAAGAAAACUGUUGAAAUAGCUGCAUAAGGUAGGGGCCGAUAAGACCCUGAAAAACGAAGGUGUGGGCCAAGCUGGCUAAGACUAACUGGACCCAACAUGUCACUGGAUUUGACCUAGGUUUCACCUAAGAUCUCAUUAUACUCUCAUUAACAUACUAAAUCACACACCCACCAGUGUAAUGACAGUUCUGAGACCACCCAUAUUGGGCGUAAAAAUGGGUAGCACACAGUUCCAAGAAAUAUUCAUAUCUUUCCAGGAAUCUUCAUGAAUAUCUCACCACUUGAUUAAAGAUACCCAUAAAUAUAGAAACUCCAAACCCUUUGGUGUGACUCACUUCUCUUGAGUAUGCCCACAAUCCCCUUCCUUAAGUGUGUACUUUUCACUUUGCAAUAAAUCUGUACUUUCACUCU